This 464-nucleotide ribosomal RNA is filed under the name Vreelandella stevensii. Its description in RNAcentral is "partial 16S ribosomal RNA". It matches the Rfam family "Bacterial small subunit ribosomal RNA", at positions 338 to 795 of the family's 1533-position model. The record is from RNAcentral. Lineage: Bacteria; Pseudomonadati; Pseudomonadota; Gammaproteobacteria; Oceanospirillales; Halomonadaceae.
CCUACGGUGGCAGCAGUGGGGAAUAUUGGACAAUGGGCGAAAGCCUGAUCCAGCCAUGCCGCGUGUGUGAAGAAGGCCUUCGGGUUGUAAAGCACUUUCAGUGGGGAAGAAAGCCUUGGGGCUAAUACCCUCGAGGAAGGACAUCACCCACAGAAGAAGCACCGACUAACUCCGUGCCAGCAGCCGCGGUAAUACGGAGGGUGCGAGCGUUAAUCGGAAUUACUGGGCGUAAAGCGCGCGUAGGCGGUCUGAUAAGCCGGUUGUGAAAGCCCCGGGCUCAACCUGGGAACGGCAUCCGGAACUGUCAGGCUAGAGUGCAGGAGAGGAAGGUAGAAUUCCCGGUGUAGCGGUGAAAUGCGUAGAGAUCGGGAGGAAUACCAGUGGCGAAGGCGGCCUUCUGGACUGACACUGACGCUGAGGUGCGAAAGCGUGGGUAGCAAACAGGAUUAGAUACCCCAGUAGUC